CGAACGGGUGAGUAACGCGUGAGUAACCUGCCCUGGAGUGGGGGACAACAGUUGGAAACGACUGCUAAUACCGCAUAAGCCCACGAUCCGGCAUCGGAUUGAGGGAAAAGGAUUUAUUCGCUUCAGGAUGGACUCGCAUCCAAUUAGCUAGUUGGUGAGGUAACGGCCCACCAAGGCGACGAUUGGUAGCCGGACUGAGAGGUUGAACGGCCACAUUGGGACUGAGACACGGCCCAG
RNAcentral lists this ribosomal RNA (237 nucleotides) under uncultured bacterium. RNAcentral's name for it is "partial 16S ribosomal RNA". It matches the Rfam family "Bacterial small subunit ribosomal RNA", at positions 99 to 334 of the family's 1533-position model. The record is from RNAcentral.